Molecule: unclassified non-coding RNA, 264 nt
Filed under: plant metagenome
Description: partial contains small subunit ribosomal RNA, internal transcribed spacer 1, and 5.8S ribosomal RNA
Source: RNAcentral
UUUCCGUAGGUGAACCUGCGGAAGGAUCAUUAUUGUAUAACCGAGGUGCGAGGGCUGUCGCUGACCCGAAAGGUCGUGCACGCCCGAGUGCCCUCACACACAUCCCUCUCACCCCUAUGUGCACCACCGCGUGGGUCCCCCUUUGGCUCGUUCGGAGGGGGGCUUACGUUUUCACACAAACUUUGUAUGCAGUGUAGAAUGUAUUUUUUUGUUUUUGCGAUCACGCAAUCAAUACAACUUUCAACAACGGAUCUCUUGGCUCUC